ACAAGUGAGUAAAGACAGCACGGGUUAUGAGACCGUUUAUCUCUACUCGCUCGUCU
Ictalurus punctatus (channel catfish) is the source of this 56-nucleotide microRNA precursor. Lineage: Eukaryota; Metazoa; Chordata; Actinopteri; Siluriformes; Ictaluridae. The record is from Ensembl.